AGUGCUCUGAUGCGGGAGAGAACUACAAAAAAAGAAAAAGAAAAGUUUAUCAAAGCAAACAAAGUAUUACAAUUAGGCUUUAGAUUGAUAUUAUGCCUCUUUCAAACGUGCAUGAACCUACUAAUUACAACUUCAUCUAAAAGCAAGUCGAAGUUAACUUCUGCAAUUAAAUACUAUAUGGCUCCAAUCAAAUUCAACAAAUACAUGCUUAUGCAUAAGAGUAGCAUUAAAUUUCAGGGUCCACUAUUCCAUAAAAUGGUCAUCCUCUAAACUUUUCCACAUCCAUUGAAUCAAGCAGAGGCUAAAAUUAAUUGACCAUCUUGUAAGUUAGAA
RNAcentral lists this unclassified non-coding RNA (333 nucleotides) under Hevea brasiliensis (rubber tree). Lineage: Eukaryota; Viridiplantae; Streptophyta; Magnoliopsida; Malpighiales; Euphorbiaceae. The record is from RNAcentral.